RNAcentral lists this ribosomal RNA (439 nucleotides) under uncultured bacterium. RNAcentral describes it as "partial 16S ribosomal RNA". It matches the Rfam family "Bacterial small subunit ribosomal RNA", at positions 339 to 795 of the family's 1533-position model. The record is from RNAcentral.
CUACGGGCGGCUCCAGUGAGGAAUAUUGCACAAUGGGGGGAACCCUGAUGCAGCAACGCCGCGUGGAGGAUGACGCAUUUCGGUGUGUAAACUCCUUUUAUAUGUCAAGAAAAUGACGGUAGCAUAUGAAUAAGCACCGGCUAACUCCGUGCCAGCAGCCGCGGUAAUACGGAGGGUGCAAGCGUUACUCGGAAUCACUGGGCGUAAAGGACGCGUAGGCGGGUUGGAAAGUCAGGUGUGAAAUCCUACAGCUUAACUGUAGAACUGCACUUGAAACUUCUAAUCUAGAGUAUGGGAGGGGGAGAUGGAAUUAGUGGUGUAGGAGUAAAAUCCGUAGAUAUCACUAGGAAUACCUAAAGCGAAGGCGAUCUCCUGGAACAUUACUGACGCUAAGGCGUGAAAGCGUGGGGAGCAAACAGGGUUAGAUACCCGCGUAGUC